RNAcentral lists this ribosomal RNA (440 nucleotides) under uncultured bacterium. RNAcentral describes it as "partial 16S ribosomal RNA". It matches the Rfam family "Bacterial small subunit ribosomal RNA", at positions 338 to 795 of the family's 1533-position model. The record is from RNAcentral.
CCUACGGGUGGCAGCAGUGGGGGAUAUUGCACAAUGGGGGGAACCCUGAUGCAGCGACGCCGCGUGGGUGAAGAAGCGCCUCGGCGCGUAAAGCCCUGUCAGCAGGGAAGAAAAUGACGGUACCUGAAGAAGAAGCCCCGGCUAACUACGUGCCAGCAGCCGCGGUAAUACGUAGGGGGCAAGCGUUAUCCGGAUUUACUGGGUGUAAAGGGGGCGCAGACGGCGAUGCAAGCCAGGAGUGAAAGCCCGGGGCCCAACCCCGGGACUGCUCUUGGAACUGCGUGGCUGGAGUGCAGGAGGGGCAGGCGGAAUGCGUGGUGUAGCGGUGAAAUGCAUAGAUAUCACGCAGAACUCCGAUCGCGAAGGCAGCCUACCGGCGCGCAACUGACGCUCAUGCACGAAAGCGUGGGUAUCGAACAGGAUUAGAUACCCUUGUAGUC